GUAAACGGCGGCCGUAACUAUAACGGUCCUAAGGUAGCGAAAUUCCUUGUCGGGUAAGUUCCGACCUGCACGAAUGGCGUAAUGAUGGCCAGGCUGUCUCCACCCGAGACUCAGUGAAAUUGAACUCGCUGUGAAGAUGCAGUGUACCCGCGGCAAGACGGAAAGACCCCGUGAACCUUUACUAUAGCUUGACACUGAACACUGGUCCUUGAUGUGUAGGAUAGGUGGGAGGCUUUGAAGUGUGGACGCCAGUCUGCAUGGAGCCAUCCUUGAAAUACCACCCUUUAAUGGCUGGUGUUCUAACGUGGGCCCGUAAUCCGGGUUGCGGACAGUGUCUGGUGGGUAGUUUGACUGGGGCGGUCUCCUCCUAAAGAGUAACGGAGGAGCACGAAGGUCAGCUAAUCCUGGUCGGACAUCAGGAGGUUAGUGCAAUGGCAUAAGCUGGCUUGACUGCGAGCGUGACGGCGCGAGCAGGUGCGAAAGCAGGUCAUAGUGAUCCGGUGGUUCUGAAUGGAAGGGCCAUCGCUCAACGGAUAAAAGGUACUCCGGGGAUAACAGGCUGAUACCGCCCAAGAGUUCAUAUCGACGGCGGUGUUUGGCACCUCGAUGUCGGCUCAUCACAUCCUGGGGCUGAAGUAGGUCCCAAGGGUAUGGCUGUUCGCCAUUUAAAGUGGUACGCGAGCUGGGUUUAGAACGUCGUGAGACAGUUCGGUCCCUAUCUGCCGUGGGCGCUGGAGAAUUGAGGGGGGCUGCUCCUAGUACGAGAGGACCGGAGUGGACGCAUCACUGGUGUUCGGGUUGUCAUGCCAAUGGCAUUGCCCGGUAGCUAAAUGCGGAAGAGAUAAGUGCUGAAAGCAUCUAAGCACGAAACUUGCCCCGAGAUGAGUUCUCCCUGACCCUUUAAGGGUCCUGAAGGAACGUUGAAGACGACGACGUUGAUAGGCCGGGUGUGUAAGCGCAGCGAUGCGUUGAGCUAACCGGUACUAAUGAACCGUGAGGCUUAACCUU
RNAcentral lists this ribosomal RNA (1008 nucleotides) under human gut metagenome. RNAcentral describes it as "bacterial LSU rRNA". It matches the Rfam family "Bacterial large subunit ribosomal RNA", at positions 1923 to 2925 of the family's 2925-position model. The record is from RNAcentral.